UCCUACGGGAGGCAGCAGUGAGGAAUAUUGGUCAAUGGGCUUACGCCUGAACCAGCCAAGUCGCGUGAGGGAAGACUGCCCUAUGGGUUGUAAACCUCUUUUGUCAGGGAGCAAUUGUCGCUACGUGUAGCGUUAUCGAGAGUACCUGAAGAAAAAGCAUCGGCUAACUCCGUGCCAGCAGCCGCGGUAAUACGGAGGAUGCGAGCGUUAUCCGGAUUUAUUGGGUUUAAAGGGUGCGCAGGCGGACCAUCAAGUCAGCGGUAAUAUCGUGGGGCCCAACCCCAUCCCGCCGAUG
This 295-nucleotide ribosomal RNA is filed under the name uncultured bacterium. RNAcentral describes it as "partial 16S ribosomal RNA". It matches the Rfam family "Bacterial small subunit ribosomal RNA", at positions 337 to 629 of the family's 1533-position model. The record is from RNAcentral.